Long non-coding RNA from Hippocampus comes (tiger tail seahorse), 293 nucleotides. RefSeq lists it as uncharacterized. Lineage: Eukaryota; Metazoa; Chordata; Actinopteri; Syngnathiformes; Syngnathidae. The transcript is spliced from 3 exons. The record is from RefSeq and is a predicted model, not a curated record.
GUUCAGCGCGUUGCGGCGUCUCAACGUCUUCUUCUCUCUUUCCCUUUGUUCCGCUUCCCGCCUCCUCACGCUUUCAGCCCCUUGGCCGCCUGGCUCAGCAGUCUGACCGUCGGGGACUCGGAACGCAAGCCGUCGGCCGGUCAGCGGUGGGACUCGCCGUGCGACGUCCCCGGCGAGGGCGCCGGCGCCGGCCUGGUCCAGAGAUGCGUGGUGGUGCAGAAGGACCAGCUGGGUUUCGGCUUCACCGUGUGCGGAGAGCGGGUGAAGCUGGUUCAGAAUGUGCGAGCAGGUGC